This 324-nucleotide ribosomal RNA is filed under the name Triticum aestivum (bread wheat). RNAcentral describes it as "partial small subunit ribosomal RNA". Lineage: Eukaryota; Viridiplantae; Streptophyta; Magnoliopsida; Poales; Poaceae. The record is from RNAcentral.
AUGGCAGUAAAGAAACAUCUUUUCCGUUUCGGAUCCUUAGCGAUAAAGGACGGCUCGGAGAUACGCUUCUGGGAGAACAAGUGGCUAGGAAAUACCACUCUCCGAGAACAGUACCCAGCCUUGUACCGCAUUGUAUGCGAUAAGAACGAUACUCUUGCGCAUGUGAUGACCACUUCUCCGCCAGAUAUAUCAUUUCGGAGGGAUUUGGUUGGGACCCGUCUUGUAUCAUGACAACAUCUUCUAUCCCGUUUGGAUUCGAUUAACUUGACACAAGGCCGGGAUGUCUUUCGCUGGAAUCUUACUACAUUUGAAGGUUUUCAUUAG